Molecule: ribosomal RNA, 465 nt
Filed under: uncultured bacterium
Lineage: Bacteria
Description: partial 16S ribosomal RNA
Rfam family: Bacterial small subunit ribosomal RNA
Source: RNAcentral
CCUACGGGCGGCAGCAGUGGGGAAUAUUGCGCAAUGGGCGAAAGCCUGAAGCAGCGACGCCGCGUGAGGGAUGAAGGUCUUCGGAUCGUAAACCUCUGUCAGCAGGGAGGAACGCUCCCUGUGCUAAUCAGCAGUGAAUUGACGGUACCUGCAAAGGUAGCACCGGCUAACUCCGUGCCCGCAGCCGCGGUAAUACGGAGGGUGCGAGCGUUAAUCGGAAUUACUGGGCGUAAAGCGCUCGUAGGCGGUAUGUCAAGUCAAGGGUGAAAUCCCCGCGCUCAACGUGGGAACUGCCUUUGAAACUGGCAAACUGGAGUGUGGGAGAGGAUAGUGGAAUGCCAGGUGUAGGGGUGAAAUCCGUAGAGAUCAGGAGGAACAUCAGUGGCGAAGGCGACUAUCUGGCACAUAACUGACGCUGAGGAGCGAAAGCGUGGGUAGCAAACAGGAUUAGAUACCCCAGUAGUC